CACUAGCCAGAUGAAGCUAGCUGACUGCUUAUAACGUUAGCUUUGGGCUAGAGGGUUAAGUAGUUGGCUAGCUAACUGAAGUUCAAUUUAAAUAAGCGAAGAACAUGCUAGCUAAUACUUACUCACAAGGAUUCCUAAAUAAUUGCUAAGAAUGAUGAAAAUGACUGUAGUUUCUACUGGUCUUUGUUUUCAGGCUGGUUGUAUUGAUGUUAGCUAGGUAACUUUACCAAGCUAAUGCUAGAACGUUUCCAAUAGGAUCUCGCUAGCUCGUGCUUGGCUCUGCCCACUAUGACUCAUUUGUUCCCAUUGGAAACGACAUGUAGCGGUCUAACUUGGUUUGUCUUUGUGUAACCCUUAUACAAAUGUUAACUUUCAACUUCAAUGGGGGUGGGGACAUCCCUAGGAUUCCGAUUAACACGGACCCUGAAAGAAGGAAAAGAAGUGACGUCGGGUAAAAUUAAAAGGGAGUAAUAUCCGGCAUUCUGUAUUAUACCAUCAAUAUUUGGUCUCUGUAAACGGAUAGUUUUUCCUGUGUGUAUUUCAUCAAACUUCCUCAAUACACACAAGUCCAUACAUGGUGCAAUCGCAUUGGGCCAAAUCACAAAUUCACCCCCCUUCUGAAGAUGAGAUGCUGCAUGCUAAAUUGGUACCCUAAAAAUAAAUAUUAGUUAGGUAGCUACCUCGUCUCUCUACUUUUAGAAAGGAGCUAACUAUGACUCUUAAAUAUAAUCUACUCAACUCUAUACUGAGCGUAUUUCCGUUAGUUUGUAUAGUUUUAAUAUUAUUUACUUGUAACUUUCAGUUUUGUCAAGCUAGUGAAGUCAGACCUGAAAAACGUCUUGUUUGGGGUCCAGGGCUAGACCCUAAAGUCGUUUUGCCCGUUCGAUCCAGGCUGUCAACUCAGCUGGGGAAAACUUCUCUCCGGGUAGACUCGUUCAGAAGCAGCAUGUCCGCAUCCACACCCACCUUCCCCUGGAAAGAGGCGAUGGUUCCUUUCUGAUGAGGAAUUCUCAAUUGGCCACGGAGGGGAGAGUGACCAAACUCAGCAUGCAUCCACAGAAAUGCAGAAGAAGGCCACGCUAGCUAAAGGUGCUAGCAAUAUCAUCUACUGCGGAAAAUGAUGUUCUGCCUCCUACGGAAGGUGAGCCUGUGUAUUUCUAAGUUGCCAGUGAUGCCUCAAACAAGGGAAAUAGAAAAAUGUUUCCAGCGUGCGUGAGAUAUUUCUGUGUCUGAUGGAGUGCAGUUCAAGUUACUUGACUUUUAUGAAGACAGUGAUGAAACUACAAAUGGCAUACAUCAAGCUCUGAUGAACUGUCUGGAAAAUCAUGAACUUGAUAUUAGACACUUCACAGCCUAUGCAGCAGAUAAUACCAAUGUCAACUGUGGAAUACACCACUCCGUUUACCAGUUAUUGAGCAGUGACAACAAUCGCAUUCUGAAAGCUAAUUGCCCAACUCGCAUAACUCAUAAUGCCUUUUGCCAUCCCGAUUGAAACUAUGAAUAUACACUGUUUAUUCAUUCCCAUAACACCAUACCCACACUGCCGUGUGACCGUGCACUGGCACGCCACCUUUUGUCCCUUAUUUGGUAGUGAGAAAGUUGGCAACCCUAAUUCAGCCUCAUUUACUGCCUUUAAAAAAACAUAGCUGAUAUGGCUGAUUUGCUUAAACAAAUGUGGUUUUUACUGACAAUUGAGAUGUACAAACUAUGGCAUAAGGUGGGGGGGCGAGUAGAUAAGAGGCAAUCAGUAAUUUCGAUUGACAUUAAUGAGCGAGCUAGGACGGACAUAGUCAAUAUAAAUAUUUUUUCAGACUUCAGUGUCUUCCCCUCCAUUGACCUGCAGCGCCUCCUACAGGAGGUUCCCUGUCGGUUCUCCAACAGAGGAGGUCUCAUUCACUAUGCUGUAAUCGACAACCAGGUCGCUGUUCCCUGGGAAAAUGCAUUGACUUCAAGAUAAUAAAAAAAUGUCACCUUAAUUUUAUUAGGUCUCUGAUGAAAUGUUCCUCUCACUAUGCAGGAAGGUAAAACGUUGCUUUGUCUUUUUUGUGUCAUUGUAUGUGUUCACUAUUAUUUAUAGGUGAGUUUGUGUGUGCUGGUCUCUGUCCUUUCAUCAAUAAGUAUGAUCAUGGUCCUUUCUUAACUGUCCGAUGGUACUUAUUUGCCCCUCACCAGAAAUUCACAUAAUAAUAUAUUUUCAAUAUGAGGUGAGGCUUCCUGAUGUGGAAUUUUACAUCAAUGUGGGAGACAGGCCAAUGGAAACAAGGAAGCAGAUGACAUUCCCGGGGCUGUUCCAAUCAUCUCCUGGUGCGGUUCCACAGACACCAUCCUCCCCACCUAUGACAACACUCACUCCACCCUGGAGACCCAGUGACAUUUCCAGUGACCUGCUGUCAGUCCAGGGCAACACAGGGGAAUGAUGAUGAAGUACAAGCGAUAGCAAAGCAGGCCAGACGAUUGUACGACAGCUCGUACAACCUAACAGAUUCUACUGUUACUAUUACAGUGUGCUUACAGAUGUACUCUGAGCGUCAGACCAACCAGCCCACACUGCAUCCAGACAUGAAGCGGGUUCCCCAGCCAUCCGACCAGAGUGCCCUUUGCAGCUGUCAGCAAGAGCCUCAAAGAGAUGAUCCCAGCCUGGAGAAGGAUGAACUCUGAUCAACACUGAAAAGAAAGGGAAGAGACACUAGCUAUUUCAAUACAGAAAGUGCCUUGGACUUCUGCUUGCUUGUUGAUUGAGAUUCUAUGCAAUGAAGAAGUACUGUGUGACCAGGACUGCUUAGUGGAUGUACCAACACUCAUAUAGACGAUCAAAUAUUAAAUGUGGUUUGAGCCAAACAGACCUUGUCACAGCUCACUUUACUGGGCCUGGAAUAUGACUGUUUUAUUGACAAGACCAUUAUGCAGAAGCAUCUCAUUUCACUGACCUGAGUGAUAUUGCCAUAUAGAUUGGUUUCUUUUUGGACUCUUCUAAAGCCACUAUGAUUGUGCAAUUAAAUGACCUAUUUACUUCGAUGUAUUGUUGUGAAAAAAAUACAAUCGUAUUGAAACAUUGAUGGACGACCAGAAAUGUCUUUAACUAGGGCUCAAAUUCACACGUGCCAUAAAACAAAAAAGAGGGGGCACCCGGAUUUGAACCGGGGACCUCUUGAUCUGCAGUCAAAUGCUCUACCACUGAGCUAUACCCCCUUCUGUUCGUUAAGGGGAAUGUUUUAGAAUAUAUAGCUACGUGUGUCACAGUUCAGCAAUGACAAUCUUUUGAUUGUAAUAUUAAUAUUGACUUCACUUUCGACUGCUUGUGAUUAGAUUUCCUAGACAACGUACUUUGGUUUUAGCUGUAGUCAAUAGUUACAGUUAAGAGAUAAACCAAGUAGCUAUCUAGCAGGAAGCUAGUAGUAGCACAGAUAGCAGACAUUUUGGUUGAAGCUAGCGGCUCAGAGCCUUGGCACCAUGACCGGAAGUACUGUAACGUUAGCCAGCCAGCGCUAUUGAAUGAAUAGACAGCAGCCUUUUUACAAUAUGGCCAAUUUUGCAACUGUGAUAAUUAGUGGUAAUCAUGGUGCGUAUUUCAAGUAGUUUGCUAGCGUUGUUAUUUACAAUUAUUCGAACCCAGUGCCAUAUAGCAUAUUACUAUACAAAACACGUAACAUAUUGACCCCAUUUUGAGAGGUCAACGACAAUGUUGCAGUUAGCUAUCUAGCUAGAAUUGUCGUGGACUAUAUGCACAACUAAAGGACAUUGUUCCAGUCACAGGUCUAUGUCCCCAAGAGGGACCUUAUGGUGUACAGGACACGCUCCGAAGCAGGUUUUCCAGCGUGAGGAAUGAGCAGCUCCCCAGUUAUCCACAGGAACUCUUAGAGAAAAAAAUUAGACUUGCUGGUUUAAAAUGGGCCGGUGCCCUACCCACACUGGCCCUACCUACUCACAAACACACAUACAGUGCCUUCAGAAAGUAUUCACACCCCUUGCAUUUUUUCACAUUUAGUUGUUACAAAGUGGGAUUAAAAUUUAUUUAAUUGUCAUUUUUUGUCAAGGACCCACACAACAUACUCUGUAAUGUAAAAGUGGAAGAAACUAAAAAUAUAUAUUUUUAAAUGCUUAUAUAUCUAGAUUAGAUGUGGGUCAUUGGCAUGGGUCCCCAGAUUCUCAAAAGGUUCUACAGCUGCGCCAUUGAGAGCAUCCUGACCUGUUGCAUCACCGCUAGGUAUGGCAACUGC
Molecule: long non-coding RNA, 4217 nt
Organism: Oncorhynchus tshawytscha (Chinook salmon)
Lineage: Eukaryota; Metazoa; Chordata; Actinopteri; Salmoniformes; Salmonidae
Exons: 7
Source: RefSeq, a predicted model, not a curated record